ACCUGGCUGGCUCAGUCGGUGGAGUGUGUGACUCUUAAUGUCAAGGUCGUGAGUUCGAGCUCCACGCUGGGUA
Molecule: transfer RNA, 73 nt
Filed under: Felis catus (domestic cat)
Lineage: Eukaryota; Metazoa; Chordata; Mammalia; Carnivora; Felidae
Also listed under: 3 other names
Rfam family: tRNA
About the family: Transfer RNA (tRNA) molecules are approximately 80 nucleotides in length. Their secondary structure includes four short double-helical elements and three loops (D, anti-codon, and T loops). Further hydrogen bonds mediate the characteristic L-shaped molecular structure. tRNAs have two regions of fundamental functional importance: the anti-codon, which is responsible for specific mRNA codon recognition, and the 3' end, to which the tRNAs corresponding amino acid is attached (by aminoacyl-tRNA synthetases). tRNAs cope with the degeneracy of the genetic code in two manners: having more than one tRNA (with a specific anti-codon) for a particular amino acid; and 'wobble' base-pairing, i.e. permitting non-standard base-pairing at the 3rd anti-codon position.
Source: Rfam by way of RNAcentral